AAACUGGGAUUAGAUACCCCACUAUGCCUAGCCAUAAACUUAGAUGGUAAAUUACUUAUACCAUCCGCCCGGGAACUACGAGCAUUAGCUUAAAACCCAAAGGACUUGGCGGUGCUUAAUAACCCCCUAGAGGAGCCUGUUCUA
RNAcentral lists this ribosomal RNA (144 nucleotides) under Lipophrys pholis (shanny). Its description in RNAcentral is "partial small subunit ribosomal RNA". It matches the Rfam family "Bacterial small subunit ribosomal RNA", at positions 769 to 949 of the family's 1533-position model. Lineage: Eukaryota; Metazoa; Chordata; Actinopteri; Blenniiformes; Blenniidae. The record is from RNAcentral.